AUACAGUAAGUACAGUAGUAUAGUGAACUGUACAGUACUGUAUGUGCUAAAAAGCACACCAAAAAUCAAAAAAUCACUUAAAAUGUUUGCAGAGUACUCACAGUACUUCUUUCUGUGUCUCUUCUUCUCUCCACGGUCUUCCUACAGGAAGUCACGACCAUGUGACA
Molecule: long non-coding RNA, 167 nt
Organism: Bufo bufo (common toad)
Lineage: Eukaryota; Metazoa; Chordata; Amphibia; Anura; Bufonidae
Exons: 3
Source: RefSeq, a predicted model, not a curated record